RNAcentral lists this long non-coding RNA (1799 nucleotides) under Malus domestica (apple). RNAcentral's name for it is "long non-coding RNA (MDOM_LNC014015)". The record is from RNAcentral. Lineage: Eukaryota; Viridiplantae; Streptophyta; Magnoliopsida; Rosales; Rosaceae.
CCAAUACUAUUUUUAGGCUAUAUUUGAUGCCUUGAAUUCAGUUUUGAGAAUUGAAUGACGUAGAUUGAUCGUUAUAACCAAAAUUCUACAAGAUAUGUUAAUAGGCCAUUAUCUGAAUCAAUGAUCCGACCGUUGGAUUGUCAUCAAACUUUAAUUGGUUAUUAUUCAUAAUAUUUGAAGAAUAUAGGAACUUACGGAUUGGGAAUCCGACAUACGGAUCUUCUCGAAUUGGAUUUGUAAGUUCGUAAAAUAAAAUGUUAACCGCCACUUGGUUUUGGCAAUUGGCUGAGAUCCGACCGUUGGAUCGUUUUGAAACUUUAGUAUGUUAUUCUGGAAGCAUAAUGUGGAUCCUUGGAAGUUACGGAUCAGAGAUCUGAUUUGUAGACCUUCUGGACCGAAUUACGUAGACUCAUGUGCGAUGUAAGUUAUGUAUUGUAUCGACGAGAAUUCUAAGACAUGGUUUGAUAAUUGGUCACAGGCGCCGAUCGUUUGUGACGCCUCAAUGUUUGUGCUAGGAAGUUGUAGCACGGACUCCAGCUGAGUGGAUCUUUCCUUGCUUAUCAUAUUUUUCAUGAUUGAUAAUUCUAUAAAUGCUUUUAAAUAAAACUAAGAAAUUUAUGCCAUGACAUAUAUAUAUAUUUAUAUGUUAUAAAAUACUAUGAGAUGGUUGAGUUUAGAUUUCAUCAUGAUAUAUCCAUAUGUGUAUUACCAUAAAUAAUUAUUGCGAACUACGAAUGGCUUAAUCCCUGUUUAAGGUACAUAGGCAAUCUAACCAGACAUUAGAUGCAGCCAUAUGAGAUUAUAUAAUCAAGAUAAUAGCCUUGCUUAAGGAAUUGAGUAAUGUGAGGGAUAUUGGUGAAAAAUGUGCGUUUUAACUUUAUGUUUUGGUGAUUAAUAGUUAGUACAUCGUAUUAUAUAAUUGGAAGCACUAUGAAAUAUUUUUAUAUUCUAUGCUCAUAAUUAUUGUGAACGCUCUGAAGUGCAAAGGUGAACGCAGGACACACAGGUAAUUUCAGGUAAGUUUAGGUAAGUUCAAGUAAGUAUACGGUAUUAUUUGAAUUGAUGGGGUUAUGAUAUGACUACAAUUAUGUUUAAAGCAACUCCUACACUAUCGUAUAGGUUGCAAUAGUAGGCAACUCUGGUAUUAUCGUACAGGUUGCUUAUGAAUUGUAUACAUUGUAUUCAAUGCAUUUAAAGCUCAUAAACCUGCACCCCGGGUGAUUAUGAUUUAGCCAAAGAUAUGGCACAACCUGUUUAUAAUGUCACCUCCCACACCAUAUGUUCACAUUGGAUCCAAUUUAGGUGCCCAGUCCUAUCGUACAGACCAUUACAGUGGUUCUGACUUGUGUGCAGUGUAAUGCCGUAUAGGUCACUAUAGGUGACUCCGGCUAGAUUGAUUGAUGAGAUAUGGAUAAGUCGUGUAGAUCACUAGAGGUGACUCUGACUUAUAUGCUAGCCAUGAUUGAUGAGAUAUGUGAUGAGAUAUGAAUAUGUCGUAUAGGUCACUAGAGGUGACUCCGACUUAGAUGCUAGCCUAUAUGUGAUGAAAUGUUAGCAUAUAUAAUGAAUAUACGUGAUGAGCUAAUAUAUGUAAUGAAUACGUGACAAGCUAGCAGACGUGAUGAAUAUGUGAUAAGUUAGCAUAUGAUUAUAAAUAUGUGAAGCAUGACUUGAACUAAUAUAUAUAUAUAUAUAUAUAUAUAUAUAUGUAUAUUUUUAUAUUCUAAUUCUGGAAAUUUUACAGGCGUUGUAGCGAGGGGUUAUAGAAAUUUAUAUGGUUUCUAUUAAAAUUUUAUCUU